Ostrea edulis (European flat oyster) is the source of this 760-nucleotide long non-coding RNA. RefSeq lists it as uncharacterized. The record is from RefSeq and is a predicted model, not a curated record. The transcript is spliced from 2 exons. NCBI's taxonomy places the organism in Eukaryota, Metazoa, Mollusca, Bivalvia, Ostreida, Ostreidae.
CCUAUCUUUGCUCUUCACGAAAAUAUUAACAGUUGUGAAGGAGAAACUUCAAACUUGCUGUGCGACUACAUAUAGCAGAAGUGGUGUUAAUCAAAUGUGGAUUCUAGAAAAUUCUAAAGAACUUUUAGUAAACUUGAAAUCGCAAAACUUUUCCCUAAUCAAUAACAUCAAAACCUAUGACUUUCAACACUAUACACGACCAUUCCUCACGAUGAAUUAAAAACUAUGUCACAUUAAAAUCUAUUUGUAUGUUUCAUUCUUAGUUCAGUUUUGUUUUGUCAAAUCAAACGUAGCUUUAUCCUGCUUGGGACCUCUUUUAAAUUGUAAAUACCCCUGUAUUAAACCUCAAUCCAUUGGACCAUAAAACCGCCAGUCCGUGCUCUCAGUAGGAACCGAGCUGUCCAGCGAGAAGGACGCAUUCAUCUGAGCACGCUUUCACCAGAAUGUUGUGACAGCAAUUACAAAAUAACUAUUGCAGACACUUUGACUUUGUUGUAAAUGUUGCCCGUGUCCAGCUUGUUCUGAGGUGCUACCUUGUAGUGUGUACCAAGUACAAAUGUACCAAGUACAACAGUAUAGAAACCAAAUACUUUGGGGAGCAUCGACAUGUGUGUUGUGUCCACGUAAGACAGCAGUCAUCAGCGUAGUGGAUCUGUGUAUAAGCCAGACGCCAUUUGAGGAACUUUUACGCUCAACGCCAUAAACCGGGACCAGAAACUGUUAAAUUUUAGUUGUAUACAAAAUAAAUGUGUAACUUGUU